Molecule: long non-coding RNA, 901 nt
Filed under: Apteryx owenii (little spotted kiwi)
Lineage: Eukaryota; Metazoa; Chordata; Aves; Apterygiformes; Apterygidae
Description: lncRNA (ENSAOWG00000014651.1)
Source: RNAcentral
AGGGGGGCUAUAGGGUGAUAUAGGGAGAUAAGGGAAAGAUAUGGGGCAAUAGGGGCAACGCAAGGGAAAUGGAAGGGAUAUAGAGCAAUAUGAGGAAGAUACGGGGUGAUAUGGGGGGGCUAUGGGGCUGGAGGGCACCAGAGGGAUGUUAUGGAGCCCAGGAAGUCAUUGGGAUUUUAGAAGUCCCCAAGAGGUUUUGAAGGGUCUCCAGGAGGUUUGGUGGACUCCCAGGAGGUUUGGGGGCUCCUGGGGUCCCUGGGAAGUUUUGAAGGGUCCCCAGGGGGUUUGGUGGACUCCCAGGAGAUUUGGGGGCUCCCCAGGAGGUUUGGGGGCUCCUGGAGGUUUUGAAGGGUCUCCAGGGGGUUUGGUGGACUCCCAGGAGAUUUGGGGGGCUCCUGGAGGUUUUGAAGGGUCCCCAGAGGGUUUGGUGGACUCCCAGGAGGUUUGGGGGUCCCCAGGAGGUCUGGGGGCUCCCGGGAGGGCUUCGGGGGUCACGCACCGUCCAUGGAGUGGAGGGACUCGAAGGCGACGAUCUUGGGCAGCCCGGGGGGGCUGCGGGCCAGCAGCUGGGCCAGGUGCUGAGGGUCGUUGUGGCGGAAGACGUGCUUGGGGACGCCGCUGGCCCGGAUGCCCUGGAUCAUGGACGCGUGGUUGCCCGCGUCCGAGAAGAUCUCGCAGCCUGCGGCCAAGGGGGGGACAGACGGAGCGUGAGGCGCGGGGCCCCGGCGUCCGGGCGGGCAUGCGUGCGGGCGGGCGUCCCCGCGUACCUGGCAGCAGGCGGGCGAGCGUGGCCAGCGCCGUGUCGUUGGCGGCGAAGCAGGAGGAGAAGAGCAGGGCACGGGGCUGGCGAUGCAGCCGGGCCAGCGCUGCCUCCAGCGCCCCGUGCAGCGGCGACGUCCCG